UGGGGAAUUGUUCGCAAUGGGCGCAAGCCUGACGACGCAACGCCGCGUGGAGGAUGAAGGUCUUCGGAUUGUAAACUCCUGUUGAUCGGGACGAACAUCCACCGGGAUAACACCUUGGAGGACUGACGGUACCGAUUGAGGAAGCCCCGGCUAACUCUGUG
Molecule: ribosomal RNA, 161 nt
Filed under: uncultured bacterium
Lineage: Bacteria
Description: partial 16S ribosomal RNA
Rfam family: Bacterial small subunit ribosomal RNA
Source: RNAcentral